This 253-nucleotide ribosomal RNA is filed under the name uncultured bacterium. RNAcentral describes it as "partial 16S ribosomal RNA". It matches the Rfam family "Bacterial small subunit ribosomal RNA", at positions 524 to 776 of the family's 1533-position model. The record is from RNAcentral.
UACGUAGGGUGCAAGCGUUGUCCGGAAUUAUUGGGGGUAAAGAGCUCGUAGGUGGCCUGUCGCGUCGGCUGUGAAAACUCGGGGCUCAACUCCGAGCUUGCAGUCGAUACGGGCAGGCUAGAGUUCGGCAGGGGAGACUGGAAUUCCUGGUGUAGCGGUGAAAUGCGCAGAUAUCAGGAGGAACACCGGUGGCGAAGGCGGGUCUCUGGGCCGAUACUGACACUGAGGAGCGAAAGCGUGGGGAGCGAACAGG